UAGGGAAUCUUCGGCAAUGGGGGGAACCCUGACCGAGCAACGCCGCGUGAGUGAAGAAGGUUUUCGGAUCGUAAAGCUCUGUUGUUAAGGAAGAACGAGUGUGAGAAUGGAAAGUUCAUGCUGUGACGGUACUUAACCAGAAAGGGACGGCUAACUACGUGCCAGCAGCCGCGGUAAUACGUAGGUCCCGAGCGUUGUCCGGAUUUAUUGGGCGUAAAGCGAGCGCAGGCGGUCAAUUAAGUCUGAUGUGAAAGCCCCCGGCUCAACCGGGGAGGGUCAUUGGAACCUGGUUGACUUGAGUGCAGAAGAGGAGAGUGGAAUUCCAUGUGUAGCGGUGAAAUGCGUAGAUAUAUGGAGGAACACCAGUGGCGAAGGCGACUCUCUGGUCUGUAACUGACGCUGAGGCUCGAAAGCGUGGGUAGCAAACAGG
Molecule: ribosomal RNA, 430 nt
Filed under: Bacteroidota bacterium
Lineage: Bacteria; Pseudomonadati; Bacteroidota
Description: Bacteroidetes bacterium partial 16S ribosomal RNA
Rfam family: Bacterial small subunit ribosomal RNA
Source: RNAcentral